GGCCUAGGGCGCUACUCGUCAGCUGAUUGGAGAGCUUAAUAAUGCAGUGUGUUGGUGCAGGUUACAGCUGCAGCUGUAAACAUAAAUGUUAAACCGGUAGUUAAUAAGAGUGCCGUGAAGGUGGAAGACCAGGAGGCGUGUUCAGGCCACCAUGUGAUCGGAAAUUACCCCUGCAGAGAGAGACAAAGUGCCAAAACAAGGGGAAGCGGAGAGUUUGAGCGGGUUCUUCGGGAUUUAAGGAGCUGCUUUUAUUCAGCAACACUUCCACGGACUCGCUGCUUCGCUUUGUUGUCUUUUCACCGCAGUCAAACCUAGGAAGCCACCUUAGUACGCUAAGGGUAUGUUGGAGGAAGGUAUGCGGACUGCAGAGGGUUGCUACCGAACAGUAUGGGAGCGGCUGGGAAUGGCCUUCCAGACUCCUGAAGCUUACUGCGAGAGGAGCAUCUACCGCUCUCUGGCCUACAUGAGGCCUCUUAGUGUUUGGGCCAUGCAGCUCGCUCUGGACAGGUCCCAGAGGGACAACACUGUUCGAGCUAAAACCGGAGACACCGACGAGAUCGAAACCUGAUGUAUUUACCUACAAUAGAAACACAAAACGGCGAUUCUCAACAAAAUUAACUGGGAAUCCCUUUCUCUUUAGCUUGAUUGGUUCAAUGGUUCAUUGUCUAAAUCAGACACUGUUGUAAUUAAACAAUCGUAUGUUAAAGGACUUUUCUGAUGGCACUGCAAGUUGUCUUACACUUUGUGUGGUCGGGCAUUUCCAAAACCAAGUCUCCAUGUAAUGCAAGUUAACAAUGCCAUCUUUUGUUUCAGCAACAUGUUGUCACAUUGUGCACAUAUACAUAUGCAAGCACUACAUUAGAUAAUAUGCCAAUAGUAUUUGCACAUUUGCAACAUGUCUGUAUGUAUUGUCAACUUUUGUUCUUACUCCAGUCCAGUUAAAAUGCUGUUAAGCAGUGAAAUGUGUGACGAGUGGUAUUUAAAUGUAUGGAAAACAAUAUUACCUUUUAUUAAUUAUUAAAUAGAAUUGAGUGCCUUUGAGCACUACAUAUGUGUAUACUGUUUAACCAUUCAGUAUACAGUAUGUUGCAGCAACUUGUUGUUUUUUUUCUAAAUGAUAGUCAUGACAAUCACUAAGAAUAAAGGACUGAAAUUUAACACGUUUUUUUUUAUUUUUAUGAAUUUAUACAUGCAAGUACCAGGCAACAAGGUGGUUUGAGCUGCUAACUUUCUCAGAUAUUUAAUCCUUUAAACAUAGCAAUCUUAAGUUAUGUUACAUUAUUAUACUGGCCAUAAACUGAACUUUGUCAGAUAUGCACAUCCUGCAACAGCAGUAAGAUAUACAGAUGCUGGAGGAAAGUCCAAAUCAUCCUGCCUUUAGGGAUGGAGAAAAGGAAGAUUAGGGGACAAACAAAGUGAUUUCACAGUUCUGAGUUCAAUCCCAGGUGUGGAAAUACUAUGCUGCAAUAGAACAUUUCCUGAACGAUAAUUGAGGGAAAUGAUUUGUCAGUUCUUUCAAAAACAUUUUUAAAUGGAUUUUGAAAAUAAAAAGUCAACUUUAAAUUACAUAUAUGUAAGUUGAAAAUACUGCAUUCCUUUUUCCUGACAAAAAAAACCCAACUUCCCUUUUAAAAAUUGACAGAAUAAAAUGUUUGUAUUGCAGUGAUGUGUUCAAAUCAAUAAAUGAUAUCAUUAUCAUAUCUAACGCUUAUAUUUAUUAUUCAUAGCAUAGUCUUAGCUCAAUGUAUACAAUUUUCUGGAAAGUUGGGAAUUUUCCUAACCCAAGAUUGCGAAAUAAAAUAAUCCAAGCGCCUAAACUAAUGCCAUAUAUGGAAGUCGCGGUGAACACACCUGGCUCAUUACCGAGGCAGGUAGAUCAGACAGCGCCUGAAUUAAACGACACGUAGAAUGCUUCUUUACCACUGAUAUCAUGGUAGAGGUAUGUUGUCAUGGUUUAGCUUGCUUAGUAACGAACUAGUGUUGGCCUCUUUUUUUUCCUCAGCAUUUAAACAGUGAAAGAAAACAUAUUUACUAAUUUACUCAUACAUUUGACUUUCCUCUGUACCUUUCAUUGACAGCAGUCCUAACUACUGGAAGGCCUUAACAGUUGGGACUAGGAUCGGGUCACCAGCAAGCCAUUGUGUUUUCUAAUAAGCUAGAAACAUUAACAACACCCUGAAGGCGCCCAGCUCAGAGUACAUCCCAAACUUCACACCACCAGCAAAAUACACCGGUGAGCUGUUUGGUGUAGAUUACCUGCCAAGUCAGACUGAAAAACAGUCACAGUCCACAUACUACAGCACCUUGGGAGCUUCAGCCUG
Long non-coding RNA from Xiphophorus maculatus (southern platyfish), 2321 nucleotides. RefSeq lists it as uncharacterized. The transcript has 3 exons. Lineage: Eukaryota; Metazoa; Chordata; Actinopteri; Cyprinodontiformes; Poeciliidae. The record is from RefSeq and is a predicted model, not a curated record.